AGCGAACGCUGGCGGCAGGCUUAGCACAUGCAAGUCGAGCGGGCACUUUCGGGUGUCAGCGGCGGACGGGUGAGUAACGCGUGGGAACGUGCCCUCUGGUUCGGAAUAACUCAGGGAAACUUGAGCUAAUACCGGAUACGCCCUUUUGGGGAAAGGCUUGCUGCCGGAGGAUCGGCCCGCGUCUGAUUAGCUAGUUGGCGAGGUAACGGCUCACCAAGGCGACGAUCAGUAGCUGGUCUGAGAGGAUGAUCAGCCACACUGGGACUGAGACACGGCCCAGACUCCUACGGGAGGCAGCAGUGGGGAAUAUUGGACAAUGGGCGCAAGCCUGAUCCAGCCAUGCCGCGUGAGUGAUCAAGGCCUUAGGGUUGUAAAGCUCUUUUAUCCGGGACGAUAAUGACGGUACCGGAGGAAUAAGCCCCGGCUAACUUCGUG
This 435-nucleotide ribosomal RNA is filed under the name uncultured bacterium. Its description in RNAcentral is "partial 16S ribosomal RNA". It matches the Rfam family "Bacterial small subunit ribosomal RNA", at positions 29 to 507 of the family's 1533-position model. The record is from RNAcentral.